Molecule: long non-coding RNA, 774 nt
Organism: Varroa destructor (honeybee mite)
Lineage: Eukaryota; Metazoa; Arthropoda; Arachnida; Mesostigmata; Varroidae
Source: RefSeq, a predicted model, not a curated record
UCCCCUUUUUUCCCUGUGGCUUACAGCAGCGACGCGCCUACUUUUAACGCUCUCACCUGGGGCGUUUUGGCAUUGUCGAACAAUUAUGGCGGCCAUUGCCUGUUUUGCUGUGUUCCGCAUUCAAUGAUUGCCACUCGUUCGCAAUUCGUUAGAAGGACGCGCGUCAUUCAUGGAUAGCUAGACUUCGACCGCGUCUAUUCCGACAACACAAAACCUUCUGCUCAUAGACGAAAUCCGGUAAGAUUCGUCUGUGUUUAACAGGAUUCGCUGGAACCCAAUAACAAGAUCGCCAUCUUGCGUGCCUCGUACACAUGAGCAAUGCGCAGCAGGUAUAUCUAAUACGAGCACUUACCCUCCGAUUGAGUCGGGCGCAAUGAUCGCUCUCUUCAUGCUUAAGGACUACGCUGGCUGCUAAUGGGCCAUUAAAGUUACACGGUAAUACAACGAAGGACGUACUUGACCCAGUUGAACAGCCAGCAAGAAAAAAACGCAAAAAUUAUACGUCGUUCCAACUUGACAGUGUCGGCGGUCGUCUCUAGAUGGUUCACCUAAGACAUUCGUCGAAGAUAGACGGUGCCUUUAGGUCUGUGGGACCGAACACAACAAAUGAGCUGACGAUGAUCAACAUGCAUCUCCAAGCAACCAAACAUUUACUUACGUCUUUACUUAAUAAAAGUGUCUCCGGUUGGUUAUUUGAACAGAAAUAUAUUGAAAUCAUAUGUAAUUUCGCACACAGUUUAGUAGCAAGUACUGAAAUCUAUCAGGAUUUAGUAA